Long non-coding RNA from Homo sapiens (human), 3063 nucleotides. RefSeq lists it as uncharacterized. The record is from RefSeq and is a predicted model, not a curated record. NCBI's taxonomy places the organism in Eukaryota, Metazoa, Chordata, Mammalia, Primates, Hominidae. The transcript is spliced from 2 exons.
GCAGAAGAUCUUGCCAGAAGACUGAGAACCCAGGCUUCCAAGAUGGCCACAGCUGCACCAAAGAUCACAAGGGGGAGUCUGCACUGAGAGACGCCAAGGAAUAGGAAGCCAGAGAAGAGAGACUGACAUAAAAGAGGAUGGCUUCAAGAUGGGCGAGACCAACCUGUUACAUGAGCUGUGAGCGGCGAGGACAGUUCCUCCACAGUUUCAAACAGUUUCUUGUAACCACCAGCAGGAUGCUCAACCCUGAAAUGGUGGAAGAAUAAGGAAGAAGCCCAUGUUGAUGCUCAAAGUCCGCAGAGAUAGAGGCAGAGCUGCAGGAGAGAAGGCACUCUAGGGCUGGCUCAAAGCCUGUUCACUCCUGCCGGUCUAGUCUCAGCUGGGUGGGGGUGGGGGUGGGGGGAGAAGCGAAGGUGAGGGCGGGAGGAGCACGUGAGGCUGGGGGUGGGGAAGACUACUCAGGUAUGGAAGGGGGUCCCAGAUCACUGCUCUGAUGUCAAGAGACAUGACCUCUCUUUUAAUGUCAAUGGUUACAGUGAACUUAAUCCUGUCCUCUGCAGUUUUUCCUUACUUCGGAAGACAAAUCAAUCAAUCCUACUGCCAUCAGUUCACUUCCUGAAAUUUGUUCCUAAACAGGGUCCUUCCCACAGUAUUCUCCCACCCUAUCAACAUGCUCAGCUCACAGCAUCAUUGAUUUUCUUGCCUCAAGGAGAGACCCAUUUAUCUCCUUCCUAGGGGUUGAGAGAUGACAGCUUUUUGGGUCAGGUACCUCAUCUUUCAUUAUUCACUCAUAUUAUACCAUAAUUUUUUCCCCAUCAUCUCAUUUCUCUACCAAUCCCCAAGACCUACAGUACUUUUUCAUCAUAGUCAGACCAGGAGAUUCAGGUUCUAUAUUUUUGUUUACUUUCUACAUCCUCUGUUCAGUUUCAUGUUGUAACUUCAAAGAGUGGAAUCUCUGACCAGACUCAAUUAUAAUAAUUACCUUUUACUAAACAAUUACUAUGUCCUACAUACCAUAAAAAGAACUUUGCAUGGUAUUAUCUCUUUUAAAUCUCACAGUAACAUAAUGGAGUAAAAGCUAUUGUGACAUCUUUCUAUAUACAGGAAAAGCUAGACUUAAAAAGUUAGGUAAUUUGUCCAAAGUCACACACUAGGAAAUGACUGGGCAAGGAGUGGAGCCCAAGUCUGUCUGAAAUCCCCAUACUCAAGACUGCUUCCAAACCCCGGGCUAAGUCACACAAACCCCCCAUAAUUUGGACCUGAAUUCUAGCUAGUUGCUUUAAUACAUAAGCAGGAAAAAAUUUCCCCACCAAAAUUCAAGGGUCUUUCCUAAACAGGUCAUUAAUCAAUGCCUUCUCUUCAGGAGCCCUUGAAAUAGCACAUUUAUCAUGAAUCCAUGAAGGUGUUUUAAAAAAGUCUCCCAGAGAUACUUACUGGAUAGACAUUUUCUUCCAGUUCAGGAUCCAGAGUUCUGGCACCAACUGCAGAAUGAAGAAGGAAGUUCUCAGCCAGGGGCCUUUUUAUGCCUUCUAAAUCCCUUAAAAGGAGUUAUGGCUUUGGGAGCCCUUCCCCACCCCUUCAGCUGAGGGAGGGGGAACAGAAGUUGCUUUCAGCUCUCAGAUCCCCCUGAUGCUUGGCUUUAUUUGGGCUUGCUGUUCCCAUAACAGUUGUUUGGCUGUUUUCCAGAGACCUCAAUCCUUCCCAAGGAGAAUGAGAACAGAUUAGAAAGAAAGGAGCUAGGUGGGAGUGGCCAGCGUCAGGCCUGAGCUGAUCCCAGUCACCCCACUGGACCUUGGCACCAUUCUCUGGGGCCCACCUCCCCCUAAUACCUCUGUGCCUUCAUUCUCACCCUCAUUCAUUAACUCACUUAUUUUUAAAAAUAUCUAUUACAUACCACCUAUGAACCAGACAGAGAUGGGUAUUGUCCCUGUCCCUGUCUUCACAGAUCUUAUAACUCUGUAAGAGUUAUAGUAAACAAAGUAUUCAACCAUGUUUGAUUAGUGCUAAGAUUGGAGAAGUAUAAAAUGUUAUGGAAGCACAUUGUGCACCUCUAACCCUCUCUAGCAACCUUAUUGAUACCAUUCAGUGCCAAUAUUCUUCCAACCAGGUUGAGGACUUUUGAUUUGCUGAGAAUGAAAUUCUGCAUAUCUUUGCUUGUCACUAAUGCCUGUCUGCUCUCUGCCUCACCUUCUUGUCCAUUGGUAUAUGUUUGGCACUCUGAGAGUAUACAGCAUCAAUUCAUUCAUAUCUCCAAUACUCUUUCAUUAAGUCUCAGUUGCUUGCCAGCACAGACAAGGUACUGCCCAAAGAAGUCCUUGGAAAACAGGCAAGAUAUAUACUAUACCAGCUAACAACCUUAACAUUUUUUUUGAGAAACUCAUUAACAAUUUUAAAUUUAGUGUGCAGUUAUGGCUACUUACCCUAGGGGUCUUCUUCAACAAAACUGUAUAACAAUUAAUCCAAGUGCUUCCCAAGAUAUACAACAGUAGCUUCAUUUCCUUACAGUGAGGGCAUAGGCAUGUGAUGGGCUCCACCCGUUAGGGACAGUGGUAGAAGUCCUAAUGGUAGCACCUGGGGCUUAGCAUCCAUAAUAUCUCUGCCCAUCCAAGGCAGUUGUAGUGUCUCCAUUCAACAGUGGAGCCCGGAAUAUUGUUACUGGCUGGGUAGCCUCCAAGCUCCAUCCUUUAGCCAUCCCAGAGAUUGUUAGCUCUCUAAUAUUUACAAUAUUUGCGUUCUGCUUUAUUAGAGUUAGUUCCAUUAUUUGCAGCUAAGAGCCCUAUGCCUAUAAAAUGAUGGUAGUAUAAGAUACUACCAUCAUAUUUUGGGGGGUAUAAUCACUUUUGUUGGAUCUUGGAGAGUAAUAGAAGAGGAGAUUAAUAUCUAUCUUUCCACAUUAAAAGACCUGUUUCCAAAAUAUUUCAAAUAAGAAACUUCUCCUCAAAGUACAAGGAUAAUCCAAAUCUUCUUAAACCAGCAAUAAAAGCAUAAAAUUUUUAUUUAGAAUUAAAGCAAAUACUUCUGUAUCACAAACACAAUAUUAAACUUCAAUAAAUAUACCACUAA